This 440-nucleotide ribosomal RNA is filed under the name uncultured bacterium. RNAcentral's name for it is "partial 16S ribosomal RNA". It matches the Rfam family "Bacterial small subunit ribosomal RNA", at positions 338 to 795 of the family's 1533-position model. The record is from RNAcentral.
CCUACGGGAGGCAGCAGUGGGGGAUAUUGCACAAUGGGGGGAACCCUGAUGCAGCGACGCCGCGUGGGUGAAGAAGCGCCUCGGCGCGUAAAGCCCUGUCAGCAGGGAAGAAAAUGACGGUACCUGAAGAAGAAGCCCCGGCUAACUACGUGCCAGCAGCCGCGGUAAGCCGUAGGGGGCAAGCGUUGUCCGGAUUGACUGGGUGUAAAGGGGGCGCAGACGGCGAUGCAAGCCAGGAGUGAAAGCCUGGGGCCCAACCCCGGGACUGCUCUUGGAACUGCGUGGCUGGAGUGCAGGAGGGGCAGGCGGAAUUCCUGGUGUAGCGGUGAAAUGCGUAGAUAUCAGGAGGAACACCGGUGGCGAAGGCGGCCUGCUGGACUGCAACUGACGUUGAGGCUCGAAAGCGUGGGGAGCAAACAGGAUUAGAUACCCUUGUAGUC